Molecule: ribosomal RNA, 258 nt
Filed under: uncultured bacterium
Lineage: Bacteria
Description: partial 16S ribosomal RNA
Rfam family: Bacterial small subunit ribosomal RNA
Source: RNAcentral
UACAGAGGGGGCAAGCGUUAUUCGGAAUUAUUUGGGCGUAAAGGGCGCGUAGGCGGCUUGGCAAGUGGAUGGUGAAAGUCCCUCGGCUUAACCGAGGAACGGCCGUCCAAACUGCUUCGCUUGAGACCGGGAGAGGUGAGUGGAAUUCCCAGUGUAGCGGUGAAAUGCGUAGAUAUUUGGGAGGAACACCAGUGGCGAAGGGCGGCUCACUGGACCCGGUACUGACGCUGAAGCGCGAAAGCGUGGGUAGCAAACAGG